UGAAGUUACACAGUUUUUAGCAGUAUUCUC
Molecule: non-coding RNA, 30 nt
Filed under: Mus musculus (house mouse)
Lineage: Eukaryota; Metazoa; Chordata; Mammalia; Rodentia; Muridae
Source: RNAcentral